Molecule: transfer RNA, 78 nt
Filed under: Metallosphaera sedula
Lineage: Archaea; Thermoproteati; Thermoproteota; Thermoprotei; Sulfolobales; Sulfolobaceae
Also listed under: 1 other name
Description: tRNA-Arg
Rfam family: tRNA
About the family: Transfer RNA (tRNA) molecules are approximately 80 nucleotides in length. Their secondary structure includes four short double-helical elements and three loops (D, anti-codon, and T loops).
Source: RNAcentral
GGACCCGUGGCUCAGCCAGGACAGAGCGAAGGCCUGCGGAGCCUUAGGUCCCGGGUUCAAAUCCCGGCGGGUCCGCCU